UGGGGAAUAUUGGACAAUGGGCGAAAGCCUGAUCCAGCCAUGCCGCGUGUGUGAAGAAGGUCUUCGGAUUGUAAAGCACUUUAAGUUGGGAGGAAGGGCAGUAAGUUAAUACCUUGCUGUUUUGACGUUACCAACAGAAUAAGCACCGGCUAACUUCGUGCCAGCAGCCGCGGUAAUACGAAGGGUGCAAGCGUUAAUAGGAAUUACUGGGCGUAAAGCGCGCGUAGGUGGUUUGGUAAGAUGGAUGUGAAAUCCCCGGGCUCAACCUGGGAACUGCAUCCAUAACUGCCUGACUAGAGUACGGUAGAGGGUGGUGGAAUUUCCUGUGUAGCGGUGAAAUGCGUAGAUAUAGGAAGGAACACCAGUGGCGAAGGCGACCACCUGGACUGAUACUGACACUGAGGUGCGAAAGCGUGGGGAGCAAACA
Molecule: ribosomal RNA, 427 nt
Filed under: uncultured bacterium
Lineage: Bacteria
Description: partial 16S ribosomal RNA
Rfam family: Bacterial small subunit ribosomal RNA
Source: RNAcentral